RNAcentral lists this small nucleolar RNA (94 nucleotides) under Cucumis melo (muskmelon). The record is from RNAcentral. Lineage: Eukaryota; Viridiplantae; Streptophyta; Magnoliopsida; Cucurbitales; Cucurbitaceae.
CUUUACGCUUUGAGAAUGUUUGAUAAUCCUAGCUCGACGAGACCUUUUGUAAGUUAAGGAAUAGUCUUUACCCAUUAAAUAUCUAAGCAUAAAG